Molecule: non-coding RNA, 772 nt
Organism: Lolium perenne
Lineage: Eukaryota; Viridiplantae; Streptophyta; Magnoliopsida; Poales; Poaceae
Source: RefSeq, a predicted model, not a curated record
UCUUUCUUUCCCUGACGUGGGGCCCCGCAGCUAUCUUCAACCUCAAGCCAAAAGUUCAUCCCACCUACGCGUAUGAACCAGAACCGAAAAUCUCCCUUUUUCUUCGCCGAUUCCGUUCGAUUCGUGCUCCUCUGCCACGAAAACCCUCCUAUAAAUACCUCAUAAUCUUCUCUGUAUUUUGCCCCUAAAAACCCUAAUUUUGGUGCCGCCAAGCUGCCAAAAUUUCUCACCGGAGUUCGCGCCGCCGCCACCGUCGCUGAGCUUCGAAGAGCACAACUCCAGUAAAACAUCGCCGGAGUUCAUCACCACACGAGCUGCUCCAUCCGCACGCAUCAGCCGCUCGGGGAGCAGAAAGAGGACGUGAAGACCGCUGCUGUGACCGCCGUCUCCUACCGCACCUCGUCGCCCCAAGCCCUUCAUUGUUCGUCUGAUCUUUUCCCCUGAAUCACCUCGUUGUUCUGAUUGUUCACCAUCUCGCGCAGAGCACCGUUGACGCGAGCCGUAUCCAUCGCCGAAGUUCUGCCGCAGCAAAGCUCGGUCAGCUAACUGCCAUCCUCGAUCGAGGAAGGAGGAGACGCUGAAUAUCCAGUCUUCGAGACCCCCGUGAAGCCCCGCAGCCCCGUCGACCACUACCCCAAGCCGGAGGAGCAUCUAGCCGACGUGAACGACUCUAACCCGCCAGGCCGGCACCGUCACGUCAACCAUGCCGAUAGUUCCAUCGUGCUGUGCUUAUAGUUGUAUGGAGAGAUACGCGUUUUGAUUGAGAGAAGGG